AAGAUCGUCUCAAGAAAGAAAUUAUUAAUUUUGUGUGAUAGUGUUGUGUUGGACUAAAGACUGAUAAUUUAGGACUAAAGACUGUCGUGCCUUCCGCCAGCACAUCGGUUAAAGAAAAAGUGAUCUUUUCGACGAAGGACAAAAACAAAGGCCUAUAAAAUAAGUUUCCCUGUCAAUAUCUCCGGUGUCGAAUCUAGAAGCCACACAGAAAUUAUACGGCCAAUAUCCUAUCGAAAUGACAUUGACAUCCCGGCGGUCCUCGUAAUACGUUUCACUCAGAUGGCAAUGAAAGACGACAUUGCAGAUUUUAAGAUGUGAAGAAUGAAUAGCGAUCUUACAAUUAAAGUAAACGAUAAAAAGAAGAAAGAAGAUAAGUGAAGAAGAAAGAAGACAAGGGAAGAGAAGCGUUAACAGAAAAAAGAGUGAAACUAUUGCUGGAACCAAGUUUGAAAAUCACAUUUUAUAUAAAUGUUGAUAUAUAUUUCUGUUUCUAAUAAUAUAGGCCCUAUAUAUUUCUCUUACAGGUGUUUUCUCUGCAUACUGAAUCGACUUUUACCAGAUGUGUCUUACUCUAUUUCGGAUUUGACUUUUACACAUUCAUCCACAGAAACAACACCUCAUACAAUGAAUUCACAGCCUAAUCUUUACUCGAUCUAUGCAUUCAUACAUCAACAUGGCAGUCAUUUUUUCACUUAAAAUUUUCUUAAAAUACACAACAAUUUACAUGUGCUUCCUAGAAAUCCAAUCCCAAGUCCUCGUCCCAGGAAGCAGAAACAUUAAUUGAAAAAGUUUAAUUUUUAAAUUAAUAACUAAAGGGGCUAUAGUACUUGAUAUAUAAGCAUUUCAUAUGCAAAUAAAAACAGAGUCACUUUUUAAUUGUAUCUUAGCCAAAGUAUGCGAAAAAUCGAUGCGAUCUACCUGUCGAUGGCAAACCGAAUUUUUUUCGAUUGUCGAUAAUAUUACAAUUUUGGCAGUUUAUCAAUGUACAACAAAUAUUUGUUAAAUUAAAGAGUAAUUUUGGAAUAAAAUACUAUAAGCGCGAAAUAUGUAUGAUUCUAUAAAAC
Molecule: long non-coding RNA, 1064 nt
Filed under: Androctonus crassicauda
Lineage: Eukaryota; Metazoa; Arthropoda; Arachnida; Scorpiones; Buthidae
Source: RNAcentral